Molecule: ribosomal RNA, 500 nt
Filed under: uncultured bacterium
Lineage: Bacteria
Description: partial 16S ribosomal RNA
Rfam family: Bacterial small subunit ribosomal RNA
Source: RNAcentral
AUUGAACGCUGGCGGCAUGCUUUACACAUGCAAGUCGAACGGUAACAGGGUGCUUGCACCGCUGACGAGUGGCGAACGGGUGAGUAAUGCGUCGGAACGUGCCGAGUAGUGGGGGAUAACGCAGCGAAAGUUGUGCUAAUACCGAAUACGUACUGAGGUAGAAAGUGGGGGACCUUCGGGCCUCACGCUAUUCGAGCGGCCGCCGUCUGAUUAGCUAGUAGGUGAGGUAAAGGCUCACCUAGGCGACGAUCAGUAGCGGGUCUGAGAGGAUGAUCCGCCACACUGGGACUGAGACACGGCCCAGACUCCUACGGGAGGCAGCAGUGGGGAAUUUUGGACAAUGGGCGAAAGCCUGAUCCAGCCAUGCCGCGUGUCUGAAGAAGGCCUUCGGGUUGUAAAGGACUUUUGUCAGGGAGGAAAUCCCUAGUGCUAAUAACACUGGGGGAUGACAGUACCUGAAGAAUGAGCACCGGCUAACUACGUGCCAGCCGCCGCCGUAA